CUCAUCGCAUCCUGGGGCUGAAGAAGGUCCCAAGGGUUUGGCUGUUCGCCAAUUAAAGCGGUACGUGAGCUGGGUUUAGAACGUCGCGAGACAGUUCGGUCCCUAUCUGGUGUGGGCGGAGCAGGAUUGAGGGAAUCUGUCCUUAGUACGAGAGGACCGGGAUGGAUCCACCUCUAGUGUACGAGUUAUGGCGCCAGCCGUAGCGCUCGGUAGCUAUGUGGAGUAUGGAUAAACGCUGAAUGCAUCUAAGCGUGAAGCCAGACCCAAGAUUAUUCCUGCCAGUGAGACUCCUCGUAGACCACGAGGUUGAUAGGGUGGAUAUGUAAGUGCAGUAAUGUACUCAGUUGACCACUACUAAUCAGUCCCUUGGCUUGACCAUAAAA
Molecule: ribosomal RNA, 383 nt
Filed under: Blastocatellia bacterium
Lineage: Bacteria; Pseudomonadati; Acidobacteriota; Blastocatellia
Description: bacterial LSU rRNA
Rfam family: Bacterial large subunit ribosomal RNA
Source: RNAcentral